Molecule: unclassified non-coding RNA, 279 nt
Filed under: Hevea brasiliensis (rubber tree)
Lineage: Eukaryota; Viridiplantae; Streptophyta; Magnoliopsida; Malpighiales; Euphorbiaceae
Source: RNAcentral
UUUAUCAUUCAGUGGCUGUGCAGAAGGAUUGUAAGAAGAAAGUCAUGGGUUUGAAGGUUGAUUCAGAUACCUGGGCUUGGGAUCAAGAUCUAUUAACAGAUAUGGCUUUUCAGUUUUAUAAGAAUUUGUAUUUGGAAGAAGGUGGUGGUGAUCUAUCUUGUCUAACUAGUGCUUAUUUUCCUUCUUUAUCUGAGCAUCAUUUGGAAGGUUUGAACGAACAAUUUUCUAUGGAUGAGAUUAAAUUUGCUUUAUUCUCUAUCGAUCCUUACAAGGCCCCUG